Molecule: ribosomal RNA, 857 nt
Filed under: uncultured bacterium
Lineage: Bacteria
Description: SSU rRNA
Rfam family: Bacterial small subunit ribosomal RNA
Source: RNAcentral
UACGGGAGUGGCAAGCGUUAUCCGGAAUUAUUGGGCGUAAAGCGUCCGCAGGCGGUCUUGUAAGUCUGUUGUUAAAGCGUGGAGCUUAACUCCAUUUCAGCAAUGGAAACUGCAAGACUAGAGUGUGGUAGGGGCAGAGGGAAUUCCCGGUGUAGCGGUGAAAUGCGUAGAUAUCGGGAAGAACACCAGUGGCGAAGGCGCUCUGCUGGGCCAUAACUGACGCUCAUGGACGAAAGCCAGGGGAGCGAAAGGGAUUAGAUACCCCUGUAGUCCUGGCCGUAAACGAUGAACACUAGGUGUCGGGGGAAUCGACCCCCUCGGUGUCGUAGCCAACGCGUUAAGUGUUCCGCCUGGGGAGUACGCACGCAAGUGUGAAACUCAAAGGAAUUGACGGGGGCCCGCACAAGCGGUGGAGUAUGUGGUUUAAUUCGAUGCAACGCGAAGAACCUUACCAGGGUUUGACAUCCUGCGAAUCUCUUGGAAACGAGAGAGUGCCUUCGGGAACGCAGUGACAGGUGGUGCAUGGCUGUCGUCAGCUCGUGUCGUGAGAUGUUGGGUUAAGUCCCGCAACGAGCGCAACCCACGUCGUUAGUUGCCAGCAUUUAGUUGGGCACUCUAGCGAGACCGCCGGUGAUAAACCGGAGGAAGGUGUGGAUGACGUCAAGUCAUCAUGCCCCUUACAUCCUGGGCUACACACGUACUACAAUGCUACGGACAAAGGGCAGCAAACUCGCGAGAGCUAGCAAAUCCCAUAAACCGUGGCUCAGUUCAGAUCGUAGGCUGCAACUCGCCUACGUGAAGGAGGAAUCGCUAGUAAUCGCAGGUCAGCAUACUGCGGUGAAUACGUUCCCGGGCCU